Molecule: ribosomal RNA, 485 nt
Filed under: fungal sp. VKM FW-2473
Lineage: Eukaryota; Fungi
Description: eukaryotic LSU rRNA
Rfam family: 5.8S ribosomal RNA (bases 155-308)
Source: RNAcentral
AAGAACGCCCGGGCUUCGGCCUGGUUAUUCAUAACCCUUUGUUGUCCGACUCUGUUGCCUCCGGGGCGACCCUGCCUUCGGGCGGGGGCUCCGGGUGGACACUUCAAACUCUUGCGUAACUUUGCAGUCUGAGUAAACUUAAUUAAUAAAUUAAAACUUUUAACAACGGAUCUCUUGGUUCUGGCAUCGAUGAAGAACGCAGCGAAAUGCGAUAAGUAAUGUGAAUUGCAGAAUUCAGUGAAUCAUCGAAUCUUUGAACGCACAUUGCGCCCCCUGGUAUUCCGGGGGGCAUGCCUGUUCGAGCGUCAUUUCACCACUCAAGCCUCGCUUGGUAUUGGGCAACGCGGUCCGCCGCGUGCCUCAAAUCGUCCGGCUGGGUCUUCUGUCCCCUAAGCGUUGUGGAAACUAUUCGCUAAAGGGUGUUCGGGAGGCUACGCCGUAAAACAACCCCAUUUCUAAGGUUGACCUCGGAUCAGGUAGGGAUA